GUUCGGAAAGAUGUCCUCUGACCUCCACAGGCUAUUAGAAGCAAAUCCAGGUUUACCUUUGUGUUAUACAGUGCUGGGAAGUCAAAACUCAUAAUCUCAUCAGCUUAUAAGCAAUGUAAUACAUCACAACCUGAGAUACGGAAAAAUAAAAGUGGUUAUACUGCCCAAUGUUGAAGCAGAUAAAGUGACAAGGACUUUAAAGUGUCACAGGCACAUCUGGAACACAUACAUCAACCUGAUGGAGCAUCGUCUCAUUGUUUUCUAAAUGUCUGAGU
This is a long non-coding RNA of Mus caroli (Ryukyu mouse), 275 nucleotides long. RefSeq lists it as uncharacterized. Lineage: Eukaryota; Metazoa; Chordata; Mammalia; Rodentia; Muridae. The record is from RefSeq and is a predicted model, not a curated record.